AGUGGCGGACGGGUGAGUAACGCGUGAGAAUCUGCCUUGGGGUCGGGGACAACCACUGGAAACGGUGGCUAAUACCGGAUAAGCCGAUUGGUGAAAGAUUUAUUGCCCGAAGAGGAGCUCGCGUCUGAUUAGCUAGUUGUGAGGUAAGAGCUCACCAAGGCAGCGAUCAGUAGCUGGUCUGAGAGGACGAUCAGCCACACUGGGACUGAGACACGGCCCAGACUCCUACGGGAGGCAGCAGUGGGGAAUUUUCCGCAAUGGGCGAAAGCCUGACGGAGCAAGACCGCGUGAGGGAGGAAGGCUCUUGGGUUGUAAACCUCUUUUCUCAGGGAAGAAGCUCUGACGGUACCUGAGGAAUCAGCCUCGGCUAACUCCGUGCCAGCAGCCGCGGUAAUACGGAGGAGGCAAGCGUUAUCCGGAAUUAUUGGGCGUAAAGCGUCCGCAGGUGGCGAUUCAAGUCUGCUGUCAAAGCACGGGGCUUAACUCCGUAAAGGCAGUGGAAACUGAAUAGCUAGAGUGCCGUAGGGGUAGAGGGAAUUCCCGGUGUAGCGGUGAAAUGCGUAGAGAUCGGGAAGAACAUCGGUGGCGAAAGCGCUCUACUGGACGGCAACUGACACUCAGGGACGAAAGCUAGGGGAGCGAAUGGGAUUAGAUACCCC
RNAcentral lists this ribosomal RNA (659 nucleotides) under uncultured bacterium. RNAcentral describes it as "bacterial SSU rRNA". It matches the Rfam family "Bacterial small subunit ribosomal RNA", at positions 94 to 788 of the family's 1533-position model. The record is from RNAcentral.